This 67-nucleotide transfer RNA is filed under the name Phallusia mammillata. RNAcentral's name for it is "transfer RNA-Arg". Lineage: Eukaryota; Metazoa; Chordata; Ascidiacea; Phlebobranchia; Ascidiidae. The record is from RNAcentral.
UGGGGGGUAGUUUAUAAUAGAUCAGUUGGUUUCGGGCCGACGGGAGGCUCGUGCGAGCCCUCCCUAG